This 70-nucleotide transfer RNA is filed under the name Danionella cerebrum. RNAcentral's name for it is "tRNA-Gln". It matches the Rfam family "tRNA". From Rfam's summary of the family: Transfer RNA (tRNA) molecules are approximately 80 nucleotides in length. Their secondary structure includes four short double-helical elements and three loops (D, anti-codon, and T loops). Further hydrogen bonds mediate the characteristic L-shaped molecular structure. tRNAs have two regions of fundamental functional importance: the anti-codon, which is responsible for specific mRNA codon recognition, and the 3' end, to which the tRNAs corresponding amino acid is attached (by aminoacyl-tRNA synthetases). tRNAs cope with the degeneracy of the genetic code in two manners: having more than one tRNA (with a specific anti-codon) for a particular amino acid; and 'wobble' base-pairing, i.e. permitting non-standard base-pairing at the 3rd anti-codon position. The record is from RNAcentral. Lineage: Eukaryota; Metazoa; Chordata; Actinopteri; Cypriniformes; Danionidae.
GGCUCGUUGGUCUAGGGUAUGAUUCUCGCUUUGUGCGAGAGGUCCCUGGGUUCAAAUCCCGGGCGAGCCC